UACGGAGGAUGCGAGCGUUAUCCAGAUUUAUUGGGUUUAAAGGGUGCGUAGGCGGCUUUUUAAGUCAGCGGUGAAAUUUUGCAGCUUAACUGUAACAGUGCCGUUGAUACUGGGGAGCUAGGAUUUGGUUGCUGUGGGUGGAAUGUGUGGUGUAGCGGUGAAAUGCUUAGAGAUCACACAGAAUAUCGAUUGCGAAGGCAGCUCACAAAGCCAAGAUUGACGCUGAGGCACGAAAGUGUGGGGAUCAAACAGGA
Molecule: ribosomal RNA, 254 nt
Filed under: uncultured prokaryote
Description: partial 16S ribosomal RNA
Rfam family: Bacterial small subunit ribosomal RNA
Source: RNAcentral